AUUGAACGCUGGCGGCAGGCUUAACACAUGCAAGUCGAGCGGGGAAGGGUAGCUUGCUACCUAACCUAGCGGCGGACGGGUGAGUAAUGCUUAGGAAUCUGCCAUUUAGUGGGGGACAACAUUCCGAAAGGAAUGCUAAUACCGCAUACGUCCUACGGGAGAAAGCAGGGGAUCUUCGGACCUUGCGCCAAAUGAUGAGCCUAAGUCGGAUUAGCUAGUUGGUGGGGUAAAGGCCUACCAAGGCGACGAUCUGUAGCGGGUCUGAGAGGAUGGUCCGCAACACUGGUACUGAGACACGGCCCAGACUCCUACGGGAGGCAGCAGUGGGGAAUAUUGGACAAUGGGCGGAAACCUGAUCCAGCCAUGCCGCGUGUGUGAAGAAGGCCUUAUGGUUGUAAAGCACUUUAAGCGAGGAGGAGGCUACUUAGAUUAAUACUCUAGGAUAGUGGACGUUACUCGCAGAAUAAGCACCGGCUAACUCUGUGCCAGCCGCCGCGGUAA
Molecule: ribosomal RNA, 501 nt
Filed under: uncultured bacterium
Lineage: Bacteria
Description: partial 16S ribosomal RNA
Rfam family: Bacterial small subunit ribosomal RNA
Source: RNAcentral